GACGAACGCUGGCGGCGUGCUUAACACAUGCAAGUCGAACGAAGUGGCGAACGGGUGAGUAACGCGUAAUCAACCUGCCCUUCAGAGGGGGACAACAGUUGGAAACGACUGCUAAUACCGCAUACUGAAGUCUGUGCUUUCGGCUGAUUAGCUAGUUGGAGGGGUAACGGCCCACCAAGGCGAUGAUCAGUAGGCGGUCUGAGAGGAUGAACGGACACAUUGGGACUGAGACACGGCCCAGACUCCGACGGGAGGCAGCAGGGGGGAAGCGUCCGCAAUGGACGAAAGUCUGACGGAGCAACGCCGCGUGAGGGAUGACGGCCUUCGGGUUGUAAAGCUCUGUUAAUCGGGACGAGGUACCGGAAUAGAAAGCCACGGCUAACUACGUGCCAGCAGCCGCGGUAAUAC
RNAcentral lists this ribosomal RNA (408 nucleotides) under uncultured bacterium. Its description in RNAcentral is "partial 16S ribosomal RNA". It matches the Rfam family "Bacterial small subunit ribosomal RNA", at positions 28 to 526 of the family's 1533-position model. The record is from RNAcentral.